GCCGCGGUAUCCUAACCGUGCGAAGGUAGCGUAAUCACUUGUUCUUUAAAUAAGGACUAGUAUGAACGGCACCACGAGGGUUAUACUGUCUCCUUUUUCCAAUCAAUGAAACUGAUUUUCCCGUGAAGAAGCGGGGAUACUUCUAUAAGACGAGAAGACCCUAUGGAGCUUCAAACCAAAUAGCAUCGGCUAUACCUUAAUAUUUUAAUCAAUAACUUUUAUUAUCGCCCUCUGACUAUUAGUUUUAGGUUGGGGUGACCGCGGAACAAAAAUUAACCUCCAUGGUGAAAACUUUUUCCUGAGCCAAGAGCCACAGCUCUAAGCACCAAAACAUUGACACAAAUUGACCCAAUAAAUUGAGCAACGAACCAAGUUACCCUAGGGAUAACAGCGCAAUCCACUUCAAGAGCUCCUAUCGACAAGUGGGUUUACGACCUCGAUGUUGGAUCAGGGUAUCCUAGUGGUGCAGCCGCUGCUAAUGGUUCGUUUGUUCAACGAUUAAAACCCUACGUGAUCUA
RNAcentral lists this ribosomal RNA (518 nucleotides) under Dendropsophus elegans (elegant forest treefrog). RNAcentral's name for it is "partial 16S ribosomal RNA". It matches the Rfam family "Bacterial large subunit ribosomal RNA", at positions 1930 to 2607 of the family's 2925-position model. The record is from RNAcentral. Lineage: Eukaryota; Metazoa; Chordata; Amphibia; Anura; Hylidae.